Molecule: transfer RNA, 63 nt
Filed under: Coleoptera sp. 2 KM-2017
Lineage: Eukaryota; Metazoa; Arthropoda; Insecta; Coleoptera
Also listed under: 1 other name
Description: tRNA-Pro
Source: RNAcentral
CAGAGAAUAGUUUAUAAAAAAUAUUAAUUUUGGAGAUUAAAGAUAUACAUUGUAUUUCUCUGA